RNAcentral lists this unclassified non-coding RNA (1411 nucleotides) under Leishmania donovani. Its description in RNAcentral is "gene:LdHU3.36.3990(CDS-product:D-tyrosyl-tRNA_dea cylase_putative)". The record is from RNAcentral. Lineage: Eukaryota; Euglenozoa; Kinetoplastea; Trypanosomatida; Trypanosomatidae.
GGCGCUGCGUGACACAUCCGUACACCCGCUACGUACCUUCACUCACUCCCGUCUAGCUAUCCGUGUGCAUGCAACUGCGAGUGCUCUGCACACCAUGAAGGCUGUCAUCCAGCGCGUUCUGAGCGGCUCUGUCACCUCAGAGGGUGAGGUGGUAGGUUCCAUCCAGAAAGGGCUGGCCGUCCUUGUGGGGAUCGCGCGUGACGACACGGCUGAUGACACCGAAUACAUCCUCCGCAAGAUUCUUGGUGUUCGGGUGUGGAGCAACGAGGAUGGGUCGAAGAUGUGGUGCCGCAACGUGAAGGAAAUCGAUGGAGAGGUGCUGCUCAUUUCACAGUUUACGCUCAUGCACGUCAUGAAGGGUAACAAGCCGGACUUCCAUAACGCCAUGCCACCUGAAGACGCCCUCAAGGUGUUCAACACGCUUCGCGAUAAACUGCGGUGCGAGUAUGCCCCACAAAAGAUUGCGACCGGCAACUUUCAGCACUACAUGAACAUCCACCUGUCGAACGACGGCCCCGUAACGCUCAUCCUGGAUAGCAAGAAAAGGAGUUGAAUACGAGUGCGCCAGGGAUUGCGAUGAUUCCCACGGGCCGCCCCACUCUUUAACAGCAAGGCAGCGACGCAGAGUCGCUCUGUUUUUUUUAUUAUUUUACCGUCUUUGAAGCCGUGUCCUGUCGACCCCGCCAGGCCUCACCCCCAACCCCCUUUAUUCUACCAGCGGGGCCCAUUCCUUUUCCGGCGUGUCCGCCCAAAACCGCCCCCACCCCCAUUUUCCCUUUGCGCUUGCCCUUGGCCUCGCGAAGGCUGUUCGGCGGGGCCCCCUGGCGCCCCAAAGGCCCGGGCACCCGGCCCCAACGACCAGCACCGCCACCACCGGCCGCGCCCCCCGCCACCCCGAGGCCCCCACCCCACGAGCCCCCUUUACCCGGCGGCAACGAGGGGGCCUACGGCGGCGGCCGACCCGAAAGGCGCCGGCGCGCAGCGGGCCAAAAGAACGCCCCCGCGGCACCAAAACAGAGCACGCACUGCCGCAGCAAAGGGAAAGGGCCAGAAAGCACCGCGGGGCCACCCGCCAACGAAACAGAACCGGCAGAGCAAACGGCAAAAGCCCGAAGAAAGAAGCCGCCCCACGCCAAGAAGCCUGCGCAAAAAGCGGCGCACAGGACACCCCGGGCAAAGAAACGCACAGCAGGCCCAACACAGCACGCCACGCCGAGCCCCCCAAAAAGCGCCACCGUAACGGAAGCGGCCGGACACCGGCGCAAAACAAACCACCAGCAACAACGGAAAGAAAAAGGUAAGCAGCGUCACCUUUGCCCGCCUUUUGCGCAGAGCCCCUCCCAAGGAUAGCCCAAAAGUAAUCUUAGUAACUGAAAAAAGAGCAGGAUUAUAGCCAUCGAUCACCCAGUGG